This 253-nucleotide ribosomal RNA is filed under the name uncultured bacterium. RNAcentral's name for it is "partial 16S ribosomal RNA". It matches the Rfam family "Bacterial small subunit ribosomal RNA", at positions 524 to 776 of the family's 1533-position model. The record is from RNAcentral.
UACGAAGGGGGCUAGCGUUGUUCGGAAUCACUGGGCGUAAAGGGCGCGUAGGCGGCCGAUCAAGUCGGGGGUGAAAGCCUGUGGCUCAACCACAGAAUUGCCUUCGAUACUGUUUGGCUUGAGACCGGAAGAGGUUAGCGGAACUGCGAGUGUAGAGGUGAAAUUCGUAGAUAUUCGCAAGAACACCAGUGGCGAAGGCGGCUGACUGGUCCGGUUCUGACGCUGAGGCGCGAAAGCGUGGGGAGCAAACAGG